Molecule: ribosomal RNA, 465 nt
Filed under: Vreelandella stevensii
Lineage: Bacteria; Pseudomonadati; Pseudomonadota; Gammaproteobacteria; Oceanospirillales; Halomonadaceae
Description: partial 16S ribosomal RNA
Rfam family: Bacterial small subunit ribosomal RNA
Source: RNAcentral
CCUACGGGAGGCAGCAGUGGGGAAUAUUGGACAAUGGGGGGAACCCUGAUCCAGCCAUGCCGCGUGUGUGAAGAAGGCCCUCGGGUUGUAAAGCACUUUCAGUGAGGAAGAACGCCUGGUGGUUAAUAUCCAUCAGGAAAGACAUCACUCACAGAAGAAGCACCGGCUAACUCCGUGCCAGCAGCCGCGGUAAUACGGAGGGUGCGAGCGUUAAUCGGAAUUACUGGGCGUAAAGCGCGCGUAGGUGGCUUGAUAAGCCGGUUGUGAAAGCCCCGGGCUCAACCUGGGAACGGCAUCCGGAACUGUCAAGCUAGAGUGCAGGAGAGGAAGGUAGAAUUCCCGGUGUAGCGGUGAAAUGCGUAGAGAUCGGGAGGAAUACCAGUGGCGAAGGCGGCCUUCUGGACUGACACUGACACUGAGGUGCGAAAGCGUGGGUAGCAAACAGGAUUAGAUACCCGUGUAGUC